CAGCAGCCGCGGGAAUACGGAGGGAGCUAGCGUUGUUCGGAAUUACUGGGCGUAAAGCGCACGUAGGCGGCUAUUCAGGUCAGGGGUGAAAGCCCGGGGCUCAACCCCGGAACUGCCUUUGAAACUAGAUAGCUUGAAUCUUGGAGAGGCGAGUGGAAUUCCGAGUGUAGAGGUGAAAUUCGUAGAUAUUCGGAAGAACACCAGUGGCGAAGGCGACUCGCUGGACAAGUAUUGACGCUGAGGUGCGAAGCGUGGGGGGCAAACAGGAUUAGAUACCCCGGUAGUCCCUGUCUCUUAUACA
This 301-nucleotide ribosomal RNA is filed under the name uncultured bacterium. RNAcentral describes it as "partial 16S ribosomal RNA". It matches the Rfam family "Bacterial small subunit ribosomal RNA", at positions 509 to 808 of the family's 1533-position model. The record is from RNAcentral.